Molecule: ribosomal RNA, 443 nt
Filed under: uncultured Prevotella sp.
Lineage: Bacteria; Pseudomonadati; Bacteroidota; Bacteroidia; Bacteroidales; Prevotellaceae
Description: bacterial SSU rRNA
Rfam family: Bacterial small subunit ribosomal RNA
Source: RNAcentral
UGAGGGAAUAUUGGGUCAAUGGGCGAGAGCCUGAACCAGCCAAGUAGCGUGCAGGACGACGGCCCUAUGGGUUGUAAACUGCUUUUAUAAGGGAAUAAAGUGAGUCUCGUGAGACUUUUUGCAUGUACCUUAUGAAUAAGGACCGGCUAAUUCCGUGCCAGCAGCCGCGGUAAUACGGAGGAUGCGAGCGUUAUCCGGAUUUAUUGGGUUUAAAGGGUGCGCAGGCGGCGCGCCAAGUCAGCGGUCAAAGUUCCGGGCUCAACCCGGUGUCGCCGUUGAAACUGGCGUGCUCGAGUGCGUGCGAGGAAGGCGGAAUGCGUUGUGUAGCGGUGAAAUGCAUAGAUAUCACGAAGAACUCCGAUUGCGAAGGCAGCUCACUGGAGCGCAACUGACGCUGAAGCUCGAAAGUGCGGGUAUCGAACAGGAUUAGAUACCCUGGUAGU